Molecule: non-coding RNA, 140 nt
Organism: Hordeum vulgare subsp. vulgare (domesticated barley)
Lineage: Eukaryota; Viridiplantae; Streptophyta; Magnoliopsida; Poales; Poaceae
Source: Rfam
GCCACUCGAUGACGACGAGGUAAUCUCCUACAUCGUGGCUGGCCUCGACAUGGAGUACCAGCCUCUCGUCUCCUCCCUCGACGCACGCGUCGAACCUGUCACCCUUGAUGAACCGUUUUCUCAGAUGAUCAACUUCGGUC